AUUAAUCAAUGUAUACUAUAUUUUCCAUAAAAAAUAGUUCAAAGUAAUAUAUGAAGUAGACAUUAUAAAAAUAUUCCUGAAAUAAAAUUUUUGAUUAAUAUUUUGCCAUGAUGAUGAUGAUGAUGAUUGUAGAAAAUGGGGGCUUUAAACAGCCUUAGUACUACAAUCAACCAAUGAUCUGUUGUUCACUCUUAAUAAGAUCAUCUCAUAAGAAGUCUCAUUUUACAUACAAAAGAUAGUAUUUUCUUCAACAGGACUAUAAAAUAUCUUCUAGUGCAAGAAAAUGCAAUCCUAGAAAAUUAUAUUAUAGCUCUGAAAGAGUCACACAUUCCCAUAAAAUGUGUAGACAAGUUUCAUCUCCUCCCUGACAUCUUUUACAAUUGGAAUUAUCAGCAAUCUCAAUUAAGUAAGGAUAUCAUCUUAGAAGACAUACAUCAUCAUCUCAUCAUGUCAUUUUAGAAGCUCUAACAAUCCUAGCUUGAUUUUUAUGCAAUGCAAACAACUCUUUACAGAAAAGAAAAAGGACCUGAAAUAAUCUUUGUUUGCUUUAAUGAAGGAAUAGAUCUCCAAUGGAAAAGAUGCCUGACCUGCCAAUCAGUUCCUGACAAUCUGCUCAAAUGUGUCAGAUCUUAUAACCAGGGCAAGCCCAGGUCCAAGUCCAGUAAAGGGACAUUGUGGAUGGGUUGGUCAACUUCCUUGACCAACUCAUCUACAAUCUCAUUCCCUCAAUCCCUGUGUGCCCUGGCAUGCAAACAAGUUGAACUCCUGGUAGUCAGUUCCACAAUGAGAUGAUGACAUUCCCACACAAGCUUUGAAGUAAAGUAGGAAC
This 829-nucleotide long non-coding RNA is filed under the name Androctonus crassicauda. Lineage: Eukaryota; Metazoa; Arthropoda; Arachnida; Scorpiones; Buthidae. The record is from RNAcentral.